AUUGAACGCUGGCGGCAGGCCUAACACAUGCAAGUCGAACGAGAGGCGGACGGGUGAGUAAUGUAUGGGGAACUGCCUGAUGGAGGGGGAUAACGACUGGAAACGGUAGAUAAUACCGCAUACCAUCCGAUGUACAGAGAUGGGAUUAGCUUGUGGGGGGGGUAACGGCUCACCAAGGCGACGAUCCCUAGCUGGUCUGAGAGGAUGACCAGCCACACUGGAACUGAGACACGGUCCAGACUCCUACGGGAGGCAGCAGUGGGGAAUAUUGCACAAUGGGCGCAAGCCUGAUGCAGCCAUGCCGCGUGUAUGAAGAAGGCCUUCGGGUUGUAAAGUACUUUCAGCGGGGAGGCGUUACCCGCAGAAGAAGCACCGGCUAACUCCGUGCCAGCAGCCGCGGUAAUAC
This 406-nucleotide ribosomal RNA is filed under the name uncultured bacterium. RNAcentral describes it as "partial 16S ribosomal RNA". It matches the Rfam family "Bacterial small subunit ribosomal RNA", at positions 29 to 526 of the family's 1533-position model. The record is from RNAcentral.